This 374-nucleotide long non-coding RNA is filed under the name Homo sapiens (human). Its description in RNAcentral is "HSALNT0292489". The record is from RNAcentral. Lineage: Eukaryota; Metazoa; Chordata; Mammalia; Primates; Hominidae.
GAUCUGGAGCUGUGGUGCAUACACAGUGGCUACGAAUACAGAAGCACCUGAGACACAGUGGAUACAAGACAGCACCUGAGGGACAGCAAGAGAAGAAAAACACCCUGGCUUCUCCCUUUCUCCCACUGUCCAGUCCUCAAAUUGGGCGUUUGAAUGGCUACACCUACGGGGAAGCUGGAUAUGCAUGUAUCCCCAAGGGCAGCCAGGGACUUUGAAAGAGCCCAGUGGAACCUACACCUAAGUGGAAAUGGAAUUCUUUCCUUUUAUUAAAACCUUCAGUAAAUCGUAAAAGUUGUGAUGCCAAGUGUCUUAGUCUGCACAAGCUGCUAUAACCAAAUAUCAUAGUCUGGGUGGCUUAAAGCCAAAUUUAUUUC